CGGAAUGGACAUACCUCUGGUGUAUCUGUUGUAACGCCAGUUGCAGUGCAGAGUAGCUAUGUAUGGACGGGAUAACCGCUGAAAGCAUCUAAGCGGGAAGCCUCCUCCAAGAUGAAUUUUCCCAUUUUUCGUGAAGUAAGAUCCCUUGUAGACUACAAGGUUGAUAGGCUGGAGAUGGAAGCGUAGUGAUACGUUGAGUUGACCAGUACUAAUAGAUCGAGGAUUUAACUUAUUU
This 235-nucleotide ribosomal RNA is filed under the name Bacillota bacterium. Its description in RNAcentral is "partial 23S ribosomal RNA". It matches the Rfam family "Bacterial large subunit ribosomal RNA", at positions 2693 to 2925 of the family's 2925-position model. Lineage: Bacteria; Bacillati; Bacillota. The record is from RNAcentral.